CAGCCGCGCGGGAAUACGGAGGGUGCAAGCGUUAAUCGGAAUUACUGGGCGUAAAGCGCACGCAGGCGGUUUGUUAAGUCAGAUGUGAAAUCCCCGAGCUUAACUUGGGAACUGCAUUUGAAACUGGCAAGCUAGAGUCUUGUAGAGGGGGGUAGAAUUCCAGGUGUAGCGGUGAAAUGCGUAGAGAUCUGGAGGAAUACCGGUGGCGAAGGUGGCCCCCUGGACAAAGACUGACGCUCAGGUGCGAAAGCGUGGGGAGCAAACAGGAUUAGAUACCCCUGUAGUCCCUGUCUCUUAUACA
RNAcentral lists this ribosomal RNA (301 nucleotides) under uncultured bacterium. RNAcentral describes it as "partial 16S ribosomal RNA". It matches the Rfam family "Bacterial small subunit ribosomal RNA", at positions 509 to 808 of the family's 1533-position model. The record is from RNAcentral.